CCUACGGGUGGCUGCAGUGAGGAAUAUUGGUCAAUGGACGCAAGGCUGAACCAGCCAUGCCGCGUGCAGGAAGACGGCUCUAUGAGUUGUAAACUGCUUUUGUGCUAGGGUAAACGCAGAUACGCGUAUCUGUCUGAAAGUAUCGUACGAAUAAGGAUCGGCUAACUCCGUGCCAGCAGCCGCGGUAAUACGGAGGAUUCAAGCGUUAUCCGGAUGUGUUGGGGUUAAAGGGUGCGUAGGCGGUCGGGUAAGUUAGAGGUGAAAUCCCGAGGCUCAACUUCGGAAUUGCCUCUGAUACUGUCUGGCUAGAGAGUAGUAGCGGUAGGCGGAAUGUAUGGUGUAGCGGUGAAAUGCUUAGAGAUCAUACAGAACACCGAUUGCGAAGGCAGCUUACCAAGCUACUUCUGACGUUGAGGCACGAAAGCGUGGGGAGCAAACAGGAUUAGAUACCCGGGUAGUC
RNAcentral lists this ribosomal RNA (460 nucleotides) under uncultured bacterium. RNAcentral's name for it is "partial 16S ribosomal RNA". It matches the Rfam family "Bacterial small subunit ribosomal RNA", at positions 338 to 795 of the family's 1533-position model. The record is from RNAcentral.